Molecule: long non-coding RNA, 1126 nt
Organism: Lotus japonicus
Lineage: Eukaryota; Viridiplantae; Streptophyta; Magnoliopsida; Fabales; Fabaceae
Exons: 4
Source: RefSeq, a predicted model, not a curated record
UGAGGUGUUAAGUAUUGAUUAUGAAUUCCAUGGGAAAGAGGUUGGUGGCUGACGUAGCAGUUGGUAAGAAAGGUGUUGCUUGGCUAUUAGAUGGCUUCGAGUAACAUUCUUACAUAUGACAAUAUUUUUCCAUGGGCAAAGUAGCAUCAUCACUCUUUUCAGUUUUUUAAACCUCUUUAUAAUUUAGAUGUGAUUAAAAAGAGGGGCCUUUUUUAUUUUUACCAAUCUUGAGUGAGGAUUCUCUUCACUCAUAUAAUGUUCUUGCAGAUUCCGACACCCAAAAGAGGUGAGAUUGUAAGCCAGCUUGGUGAUGCAUUAAGGGUCAAAUUGGAUCCGUUCAUUGAACUUACUUUAAUGUUGUAUUUGCAGGCAAUGGAAUUUCUCAAGUCCCUUGAGAUGGUGUUCUAUUGAAGGUUGAGAUUUAAUUUCCGAUCCCUGACACAUUGAUUUGAUAUUAUCUGAAAAGGAAGAGCCUUUCAAAAAGGAGCCCAAGACCCAGGUCACAUCCAACAAGAAUAAGCCCCAAAUGCGGUGAAUGUAUGUAUUUUAAUAUGAGAUUUCGCUUGGUGAAACUUUUAACUUUAGUAUAAUUUUGUGUAGAAGCCUCUUAAUAAAAGUGAAGCAGUUGUUGCUUCUAAUGUGCUGGAUAAUAGUUUUGCUUUUGAUCCAACCCUCAAUAAGAUUGCCAAAAAUGAGGAGGGCCUAUAUGGAGAAUCAGAAAAUCCUGCAACUGGGAAUCAAUAAAUAGACAUCAUGGGAUCUUUUGACCAAGAUUCACCACCAACCCAGAGAAAACUAAGCUGGAGGAAGCAGUAACACAUGCAGAUAUGGCUUUCAAAGUUCACUUGAUUAUCCCCCUCCUGAGACUUUCUCUAAGGCAUACAAGCUGUGAAAGAAUCUCUCAUUGAGCAUAUCCCCCUCUUGAUUCCCUAAGAUAUAUCAGCUGUGAAAGAAUCUCUCCCCUAGAAUUUGAGCAUGUCUCUGGAAACAUCUCUCAUUUUACUUUUGUGUGCUUGCAGAAGUUGUCAGUGAUUGAAUUGUGAAACUGUAUUACUCCAUGUGACCAAGUAAACUGCUUUAUUUCUAAUGCAGCCAUCUUCUUUAUGGUGGAAGCCUCUUAAUUUAU